This 72-nucleotide transfer RNA is filed under the name Lignipirellula cremea. Its description in RNAcentral is "Planctomycetes bacterium Pla85_3_4 tRNA-Ala". It matches the Rfam family "tRNA". From Rfam's summary of the family: Transfer RNA (tRNA) molecules are approximately 80 nucleotides in length. Their secondary structure includes four short double-helical elements and three loops (D, anti-codon, and T loops). Lineage: Bacteria; Pseudomonadati; Planctomycetota; Planctomycetia; Pirellulales; Pirellulaceae. The record is from RNAcentral.
GGGCUCAUCGUCCAACAGGAAGAUGCCGGUGUCGCAAGCCGGAGAUCCCGGUGCGACUCCGGGUGGGUCCAC